Molecule: long non-coding RNA, 816 nt
Organism: Dendrobium catenatum
Lineage: Eukaryota; Viridiplantae; Streptophyta; Magnoliopsida; Asparagales; Orchidaceae
Exons: 5
Source: RefSeq, a predicted model, not a curated record
AGACAAGGAUGAAAACCUAGCCGCAUCCAUUCUUUCUCAUGGGAGAGGAGACGAGGCUUCGAGCUUUGCUGAUGCGAGUCAGUUGGAUCUAAGCCUUAGUUGAAAGAUGUAGCCUAGUAGUUUAGAAUUGCAGGAAUUGACAUCUAGAUGUGCCGAAUUUUACAAGAAAUGACAAUCUUUUGAGUGACAGGCGGAAUCCCUUGGCUGCUUUAAGUAAUGGCAUCGGCUGCUUGUAUUCUCGUUGGCUUUCUGUUUACAGUUCAACUGGCUUCUUCGGUAACAGUUCUGGCACUCCGGUCUUUUACUGAAGCAAAAAAGUUUCAGAGGAUGCUUGCAAUGUCAUCUACAAAUUGAGAAGGAAAAGGCUUCUACAAUUGCAAAUUGUGUAAAGAGAAUUCCAUGAUAGAGUGUUCUCCUUAUAUGACCCAAUAGCCAUUAAUCCAUGCCUUUGCGCUACAGUCGAUGGGAAUAGGAUGCAUCUUGUAGUGUUUCCAACUUAAAUUUAUAGAAUUAUUUUUUCUAUUCAUUCUUAUUGAGAGCAUAAUGAAGGUUUUUCAUUGAGCCAGGGUACAACUCUAUCUAUAUUGUUUGGGGGAUGAUAUACACCUGAAAUCAGCUAGGUUAUCUUCAGGUGAUGAGUAAGCAUGUUGAAGGAAAAGGAAUUAUACACCGACUGGGCUGUGUCAUGAACAUCUUGCUUUCGUUUCUUCUAUUAUUAGCGUGACAGCCCGGUUCAGACAGGCAGAUUUGGGGUUCUGAUGAUAGUAAAGCUAUAUCUUUGUAAAAUUGAAUUUAGCUUUCAAAAAAAUAUUUUUU